UAGUACGUGUUAUGGUAACAUAGUAUGAGACUUCUUAGAGGGACAUUUCGGGUUUACCGAAAGGAAAUUUCUGGCAAUAUCAGGUCCGUGAUGCCCUUAGAUGUUCUGGGCCGCACGCGCGCUACACUGACGACUUCAACAAGUUUUUUGGCCUUGCCAAAUUUCCUUGGCCGGAAGGUCUGGGCAAUCUUUUAAAAGGUCCUCGUGAUGGGGCUAGAUUCUUGCAAUUAUUAAUCUCCAACGCGGAACC
This 250-nucleotide ribosomal RNA is filed under the name Thraustochytriidae sp. Its description in RNAcentral is "Thraustochytriaceae sp. partial small subunit ribosomal RNA". It matches the Rfam family "Eukaryotic small subunit ribosomal RNA", at positions 1377 to 1610 of the family's 1831-position model. The record is from RNAcentral. Lineage: Eukaryota; Bigyra; Thraustochytrida; Thraustochytriidae.